GACGAACGCUGGCGGCGUGCUUAACACAUGCAAGUCGAACGGAAAGGCCCUGCUUUUGUGGGGUGCUCGAGUGGCGAACGGGUGAGUAACACGUGAGUAACCUGCCCUUGACUUUGGGAUAACUUCAGUAAACUGGGGCUAAUACCGGAUAGGAGCUCCUGCUGCAUGGUGGGGGUUGGAAAGUUUCGGCGGUUGGGGAUGGACUCGCGGCUUAUCAGCUUGUUGGUGGGGUAGUGGCUUACCAAGGCUUUGACGGGUAGCCGGCCUGAGAGGGUGACCGGCCACAUUGGGACUGAGAUACGGCCCAGACUCCUACGGGAGGCAGCAGUGGGGAAUAUUGCACAAUGGGCGGAAGCCUGAUGCAGCAACGCCGCGUGCGGGAUGACGGCCUUCGGGUUGUAAACCGCUUUCGCCUGUGACGAAGCGUAAGUGACGGUAAUGGGUAAAGAAGCACCGGCUAACUACGUG
This 468-nucleotide ribosomal RNA is filed under the name uncultured bacterium. RNAcentral's name for it is "partial 16S ribosomal RNA". It matches the Rfam family "Bacterial small subunit ribosomal RNA", at positions 28 to 507 of the family's 1533-position model. The record is from RNAcentral.